Molecule: long non-coding RNA, 890 nt
Organism: Rosa rugosa (rugosa rose)
Lineage: Eukaryota; Viridiplantae; Streptophyta; Magnoliopsida; Rosales; Rosaceae
Exons: 4
Source: RefSeq, a predicted model, not a curated record
UCGCUCACGCUCUACUUCUCAAACUCAUUUCUACUUCUCAAAAAAGAAAAAGAAAAAGAAAAACUCAUUUCUAGGGUUUCGCCCCAACAUCACCAUCGACGACGGAAGCGAUCGUCUCCGUCUCCAUCUCAUGGACGAGAGCCACAUGACUGCUAAUCGCCGGCCCUUGCCUCGUCGUCUUUUCGAUUCGAGAAGACGGAGCAUUGCCCUCCGGAUCUCCAAUACGGCGUGCCGUUUCAGGUUCGCGAUACCGCUCCGGCCUUCGAUUCAAUCGAUAUGAGUGAUGCCGAUUGGGAGUUCAUUGCUACGGAGCACGAACGAUGUGGUUAGGGUUUCGUGUAAUGGUCUUACCGGAGCUAGAUGCCCAUAACCGGGGAGUUGUCACAAGAAAACAUCGAAGAUCGGUGAUUUGGAUUUGAACUUAUGGAUCCUUCCUGCAAGUAGGCUGAAAGCAGGACCAGUAUGUUGUGAUAAGAAUCAGGUGAUCAGGAAAUUGACGAGUGGUUGAAGUAUAACAUAACAUAGUUUACCCUCAAGGCUCAUUUGAGGAUUAAUAAAGGUAAUGAUUAACCAUAAGUUACAGAGACCUUUACUGCCUUUGGCAUUGGUUUGCCGUUUGGGUUAGCAAUUUACUUGAGAUGAUUAAUAUGAAAUAUUUCUAUUAUUUAUAAACAAAUACUCAGGUGCAUUAAAGAAAUAACAAGGACAAGAACUUUGAUUUGUGGGUAUGUUUGUCAAGUAUAAUUAUUUAAUGAGUGCAUUCCCUUGUCUGUAAUUUUCCUUUUGGCUGUUAAACUGUUAGUAAUGCGUUUAUGAUCAAUUCUACUAAGUUUCUUUUCCCAAUUGAUACUGUUUUAUUUUAGAGUGAAAAAGAUAGUAUUUACUUGUCU